UACGGGGGGGUGCGAGCGUUUGUCCGGGAAUCACUGGGCGUAAAGGGCGCGUAGGCGGCCUUCUAAGUCGAACGUGAAAUCCCCUGGGCUCAACCCAGGAACUGCGUCCGAUACUGGGAGGCUUGAAUCCGGGAGAGGGAUGCGGAAUUCCAGGUGUAGCGGUGAAAUGCGUAGAUAUCGAGAGGAACACCGGUGGCGAAGGCGACUUUCUGGUCUGUGAACUGACGCUGAGGCGCGAAAGCGUGGGGAGCAAACAGG
RNAcentral lists this ribosomal RNA (258 nucleotides) under uncultured bacterium. RNAcentral's name for it is "partial 16S ribosomal RNA". It matches the Rfam family "Bacterial small subunit ribosomal RNA", at positions 524 to 776 of the family's 1533-position model. The record is from RNAcentral.